Molecule: ribosomal RNA, 477 nt
Filed under: uncultured organism
Description: partial 16S ribosomal RNA
Rfam family: Bacterial small subunit ribosomal RNA
Source: RNAcentral
UACACUCCUACGGGAGGCAGCAGUGGGGAAUUUUGGACAAUGGGGGCAACCCUGAUCCAGCAAUGCCGCGUGAGUGAAGAAGGCCUUCGGGUUGUAAAGCUCUUUUGUCAGGGAAGAAACGGUAGUAGCGAAUAACUAUUACUAAUGACGGUACCUGAAGAAUAAGCACCGGCUAACUACGUGCCAGCAGCCGCGGUAAUACGUAGGGUGCAAGCGUUAAUCGGAAUUACUGGGCGUAAAGCGUGCGCAGGCGGUUGUGUAAGUCAGAUGUGAAAUCCCCGGGCUCAACCUGGGAAUUGCAUUUGAGACUGCACGGCUAGAGUGUGUCAGAGGGGGGUAGAAUUCCACGUGUAGCAGUGGAAUGCGUAGAUAUGUGGAGGAAUACCGAUGGCGAAGGCAGCCCCCUGGGAUAACACUGACGCUCAUGCACGAAAGCGUGGGGAGCAAACAGGAUUAGAAACCCUUGUAGUCCCAUGA